UUAAUUUGAGAGUUUGAUCCUGGCUCAGGACGAACGCUGGCGGCGUGCCUAAUACAUGCAAGUCGAACGAACUCUGGUAUUGAUUGGUGCUUGCAUCAUGAUUUACAUUUGAGUGAGUGGCGAACUGGUGAGUAACACGUGGGAAACCUGCCCAGAAGCGGGGGAUAACACCUGGAAACAGAUGCUAAUACCGCAUAACAACUUGGACCGCAUGGUCCGAGUUUGAAAGAUGGCUUCGGCUAUCACUUUUGGAUGGUCCCGCGGCGUAUUAGCUAGAUGGUGAGGUAACGGCUCACCAUGGCAAUGAUACGUAGCCGACCUGAGAGGGUAAUCGGCCACAUUGGGACUGAGACACGGCCCAAACUCCUACGGGAGGCAGCAGUAGGGAAUCUUCCACAAUGGACGAAAGUCUGAUGGAGCAACGCCGCGUGAGUGAAGAAGGGUUUCGGCUCGUAAAACUCUGUUGUUAAAGAAGAACAUAUCUGAGAGUAACUGUUCAGGUAUUGACGGUAUUUAACCAGAAAGCCACGGCUAACUACGUGCCAGCAGCCGCGGUAAUACGUAGGUGGCAAGCGUUGUCCGGAUUUAUUGGGCGUAAAGCGAGCGCAGGCGGUUUUUUAAGUCUGAUGUGAAAGCCUUCGGCUCAACCGAAGAAGUGCAUCGGAAACUGGGAAACUUGAGUGCAGAAGAGGACAGUGGAACUCCAUGUGUAGCGGUGAAAUGCGUAGAUAUAUGGAAGAACACCAGUGGCGAAGGCGGCUGUCUGGUCUGUAACUGACGCUGAGGCUCGAAAGUAUGGGUAGCAAACAGGAUUAGAUACCCUGGUAGUCCAUACCGUAAACGAUGAAUGCUAAGUGUUGGAGAGUUUCCGCCCUUCAGUGCUGCAGCUAACGCAUUAAGCAUUCCGCCUGGGGAGUACGGCCGCAAGGCUGAAACUCAAAGGAAUUGACGGGGGCCCGCACAAGCGGUGGAGCAUGUGGUUUAAUUCGAAGCUACGCGAAGAACCUUACCAGGUCUUGACAUACUAUGCAAAUCUAAGAGAUUAGACGUUCCCUUCGGGGACAUGGAUACAGGUGGUGCAUGGUUGUCGUCAGCUCGUGUCGUGAGAUGUUGGGUUAAGUCCCGCAACGAGCGCAACCCUUAUUAUCAGUUGCCAGCAUUAAGUUGGGCACUCUGGUGAGACUGCCGGUGACAAACCGGAGGAAGGUGGGGAUGACGUCAAAUCAUCAUGCCCCUUAUGACCUGGGCUACACACGUGCUACAAUGGAUGGUACAACGAGUUGCGAACUCGCGAGAGUAAGCUAAUCUCUUAAAGCCAUUCUCAGUUCGGAUUGUAGGCUGCAACUCGCCUACAUGAAGUCGGAAUCGCUAGUAAUCGCGGAUCAGCAUGCCGCGGUGAAUACGUUCCCGGGCCUUGUACACACCGCCCGUCACACCAUGAGAGUUUGUAACACCCAAAGUCGGUGGGGUAACCUUUUAGGAACCAGCCGCCUAAGGUGGGACAGAUGAUUAGGGUGAAGUCGUAACAAGGUAGCCGUAGGAGAACCUGCGGCUGGAUCACCUCCUUUCUAAGGAA
Molecule: ribosomal RNA, 1576 nt
Filed under: Lactiplantibacillus plantarum
Lineage: Bacteria; Bacillati; Bacillota; Bacilli; Lactobacillales; Lactobacillaceae
Description: Lactobacillus plantarum 16S ribosomal RNA
Rfam family: Bacterial small subunit ribosomal RNA
Source: RNAcentral